CGAGCUCUUCCUCUCGUCUAAAACGUAUCAGAAUCCCAAUAAAUAAAUGCAAAUGAUAAAAAACUUUAAAACUAUUUUGAAAA
Molecule: small RNA, 83 nt
Filed under: Pteridomonas danica
Lineage: Eukaryota; Dictyochophyceae; Pedinellales
Description: partial transfer-messenger RNA
Source: RNAcentral